RNAcentral lists this ribosomal RNA (253 nucleotides) under uncultured bacterium. RNAcentral's name for it is "partial 16S ribosomal RNA". It matches the Rfam family "Bacterial small subunit ribosomal RNA", at positions 524 to 776 of the family's 1533-position model. The record is from RNAcentral.
UACAGAGGGGGCAAGCGUUGUUCGGAAUUACUGGGCGUAAAGGGCGCGUAGGCGGCCUGUUAAGUCGAACGUGAAAUCCCUGGGCUUAACCCAGGAACUGCGUCCGAUACUGGCAGGCUUGAAUCCGGGAGAGGGAUGCGGAAUUCCAGGUGUAGCGGUGAAAUGCGUAGAUAUCUGGAGGAACACCGGUGGCGAAGGCGGCAUCCUGGACCGGCAUUGACGCUGAGGCGCGAAAGCCAGGGGAGCAAACGGG